This 617-nucleotide ribosomal RNA is filed under the name uncultured bacterium. RNAcentral's name for it is "bacterial SSU rRNA". It matches the Rfam family "Bacterial small subunit ribosomal RNA", at positions 338 to 944 of the family's 1533-position model. The record is from RNAcentral.
CCUACGGGAGGCAGCAGUGGGGAAUUUUGGACAAUGGGCGCAAGCCUGAUCCAGCAAUGCCGCGUGAGUGAAGAAGGCCUUCGGGUUGUAAAGCUCUUUUGUCAGGGAAGAAACGGUGAGAGCUAAUAUCUCUUGCUAAUGACGGUACCUGAAGAAUAAGCACCGGCUAACUACGUGCCAGCAGCCGCGGUAAUACGUAGGGUGCAAGCGUUAAUCGGAAUUACUGGGCGUAAAGCGUGCGCAGGCGGUUUUGUAAGUUUGUCGUGAAAGCCCCGGGCUCAACCUGGGAAUUGCGAUGAAGACUGCAAGGCUUGAAUCUGGCAGAGGGGGGUUAGAAUUCCACGUGUAGCAGUGAAAUGCGUAGAGAUGUGGAGGAACACCGAUGGCGAAGGCAGCCCCCUGGGUCAAGAUUGACGCUCAUGCACGAAAGCGUGGGGAGCAAACAGGAUUAGAUACCCUGGUAGUCCACGCCCUAAACGAUGUCUACUAGUUGUCGGGUUUUAAUUAACUUGGUAACGCAGCUAACGCGUGAAGUAGACCGCCUGGGGAUCGGUCGCAAGNUUAAAACGUCAAANAGAGUAGAGCGNGAGAGNGCGAGACGACGACGAGGGAGGAGG